Long non-coding RNA from Syngnathoides biaculeatus (alligator pipefish), 700 nucleotides. RefSeq lists it as uncharacterized. The record is from RefSeq and is a predicted model, not a curated record. The transcript is spliced from 2 exons. Lineage: Eukaryota; Metazoa; Chordata; Actinopteri; Syngnathiformes; Syngnathidae.
UCACUCGAAGCACGGCCUCUUGUUCUUUACCUUCGACCCUGGACAUCCUGUCAUGAGCAAGGGUUGGCCACUGCCAAGAGGGGCGUGGCCAGUCCACUGCUCUGGGCGGUGCCACCUCUGACAUCUGUCACAGCUGGUUUGCAUUAGGCACUGUAACUAGACCAAGCAUUUAGUUGGAGUUUUUGUCACUGGCAUUUGCCAGUCCGUUGCUUUGUGUUAGUGCGUAUGCAUCACCGCAUUCUGGGUUACUCUGCUAGUUUGCCUCAUAGUCAUCGAACCUUGUUCCUCGUUUUUAGAUCCUGCCUUCUUGGACUGUGUAUUGUGCAUCUCUUUAGAUAAGAAUAAAACCCACUGAACAUAAUGCGUUUGCCUGGGAGUCCUGCAUCUGGGUCCGCUCCUGCACCGUUGUGUUUCCUCAUUGAGGGAUGGAGGGAUCAGAGCGAAGUUCCUGGCACUGACGGCACGCUAUGAUGGCGUUCAGCCCCCCACUCUGUCCUCAGCCAUGUCUCAAUAGUUAUGUUAUUAUGUAUUUAAUCAUCUUACAUUAUAUUGUACUCACAGGUGUUGGGUAUCGCAGGGGGCUCGGAGACGGCCCAUGAGUGGGACUUUUGUGUUCUUUUUUUAAUCAUUUGUCUCGUGUAGCACUUUGUUGCUUUUUUUAUAUGAAAGGUGCCAUAUGAGUAAAGCUUUGAUUGGUUGC